Molecule: unclassified non-coding RNA, 148 nt
Organism: Pongo abelii (Sumatran orangutan)
Lineage: Eukaryota; Metazoa; Chordata; Mammalia; Primates; Hominidae
Rfam family: Metazoan signal recognition particle RNA
About the family: The signal recognition particle (SRP) is a universally conserved ribonucleoprotein. It is involved in the co-translational targeting of proteins to membranes. The eukaryotic SRP consists of a 300-nucleotide 7S RNA and six proteins: SRPs 72, 68, 54, 19, 14, and 9.
Source: Ensembl
GCUGGGCGUUGUGGCGGGCGCCUGUAGUCCCAGCUACUCAGGAGGCUGAGGCAGGAGAAUGGCUUGAACCCAGGGGCUGGAGCUUGCAGUGAGCCGAGAUCGAGCCACUGCACUCCAGCCUGGGUGACAGAGCAAGACUCCGUCUCAA